UUAAAUCAAAUUUUUACGCAGUUGGAACGUUUGCCGCUAGUGGCGCUGUUCCAACUGCAUACAAAUUUUAGUUA
This 74-nucleotide microRNA precursor is filed under the name Bombyx mori (domestic silkworm). RNAcentral's name for it is "mir-2807 microRNA precursor family". It matches the Rfam family "mir-2807 microRNA precursor family". Lineage: Eukaryota; Metazoa; Arthropoda; Insecta; Lepidoptera; Bombycidae. The record is from Rfam by way of RNAcentral.